AAUGAACGUUGGCGGCGUGGAUUAGGCAUGCAAGUCGAGCGAGAAGUCAUCCUGCUUGCAGGAUGAUGGAAAGCGGCGAAAGGGAGAGUAACGCGUGGAUACCUACCCAGGGGUCCGGGAUAGCUGAGCGAAAGCGCAGGUAAUACCGGAUAACGUCUGAGGACCAAAGGUGUGAUUCCACCCUUGGAGGGGUCCGCGUCCUAUUAGCUUGUUGGUGAGGUAACGGCUCACCAAGGCUUUGAUGGGUACCGGGUGUGAGAGCAUGACCCGGCUCACUGGGACUGAGACACUGCCCAGACACCUACGGUGGCUGCAGUCGAGAAUCUUCGGCAAUGGGCGAAAGCCUGACCGAGCGACGCCGCGUGCGGGAUGAAGGCCUUCGGGUUGUAACCGCUGUCAGAGGGUGAAUCCAUAGGGCUAUCCCUAUGGGUUGACAUAUCCUCAGAGGAAGGACGGGCUAAG
RNAcentral lists this ribosomal RNA (462 nucleotides) under uncultured bacterium. Its description in RNAcentral is "bacterial SSU rRNA". It matches the Rfam family "Bacterial small subunit ribosomal RNA", at positions 29 to 501 of the family's 1533-position model. The record is from RNAcentral.